CCUACGGGUGGCAGCAGUGGGGAAUAUUGGACAAUGGGGGGAACCCUGAUCCAGCCAUGCCGCGUGUGUGAAGAAGGCCCUCGGGUUGUAAAGCACUUUCAGUGAGGAAGAACGCCUGGUGGUUAAUACCCAUCAGGAAAGACAUCACUCACAGAAGAAGCACCGGCUAACUCCGUGCCAGCAGCCGCGGUAAUACGGAGGGUGCGAGCGUUAAUCGGAAUUACUGGGCGUAAAGCGCGCGUAGGUGGCUUGAUAAGCCGGUUGUGAAAGCCCCGGGCUCAACCUGGGAACGGCAUCCGGAACUGUCUAGCUAGAGUGCAGGAGAGGAAGGUAGAAUUCCCGGUGUAGCGGUGAAAUGCGUAGAGAUCGGGAGGAAUACCCGUGGCGAAGGCGGCCUUCUGGACUGACACUGACACUGAGGUGCGAAGGCGUGGGUAGCAAACAGGAUUAGCUACCCUUGUAGUC
This 465-nucleotide ribosomal RNA is filed under the name Vreelandella stevensii. RNAcentral's name for it is "partial 16S ribosomal RNA". It matches the Rfam family "Bacterial small subunit ribosomal RNA", at positions 338 to 795 of the family's 1533-position model. Lineage: Bacteria; Pseudomonadati; Pseudomonadota; Gammaproteobacteria; Oceanospirillales; Halomonadaceae. The record is from RNAcentral.